GACGAACGCUGGCGGCGUGCUUAACACAUGCAAGUCGAACGGAAAGGCCCUGCUUUUGUGGGGUGCUCGAGUGGCGAACGGGUGAGUAACACGUGAGUAACCUGCCCUUGACUUUGGGAUAACUUCAGGAAACUGGGGCUAAUACCGGAUAGGAGCUCCUGCUGCAUGGUGGGGGUUGGAAAGUUUCGGCGGUUGGGGAUGGACUCGCGGCUUAUCAGCUUGUUGGAGGGGUAGUGGCUUACCAAGGCUUUGACGGGUAGCCGGCCUGAGAGGGUGACCGGCCACAUUGGGACUGAGAUACGGCCCAGGCUCCUACGGGAGGCAGCAGUGGGGAAUAUUGCACAAUGGGCGGAAGCCUGAUGCAGCAACGCCGCGUGCGGGAUGACGGCCUUCGGGUUGUAAACCGCUUUCGCCUGUGACGAAGCGUGAGUGACGGUAAUGGGUAAAGAAGCACCGGCUAACUACGUG
This 468-nucleotide ribosomal RNA is filed under the name uncultured bacterium. Its description in RNAcentral is "partial 16S ribosomal RNA". It matches the Rfam family "Bacterial small subunit ribosomal RNA", at positions 28 to 507 of the family's 1533-position model. The record is from RNAcentral.